UAAGGAAUAUUGGUCAAUGGACGCAAGUCUGAACCAGCCAUGCCGCGUGAAGGAUGAAGGUCCUCUGGAUUGUAAACUUCUUUUAUCUGGGACGAAAACGGGAUUUUUAUCUCAAUUGACGGUACCAGAGGAAUAAGCACCGGCUAACUCCGUGCCAGCAGCCGCGGUAAUACGGAGGGUGCGAGCGUUAUCCGGAUUUACUGGGUUUAAAGGGUGCGUAGGUGGGCUUAUAAGUCAGUGGUGAAAUCUCCGAGCUUAACUUGGAAACUGCCGUUGAUACUAUAGGUCUUGAAUUAUCUGGAGGUCAGCGGAAUAUGUCAUGUAGCGGUGAAAUGCUUAGAUAUGACAUAGAACACCAAUUGCGAAGGCAGCUUACUACAUAUAAAUUGACGCUGAGGCACGAAAGCGUGGGGAUCAAACA
RNAcentral lists this ribosomal RNA (421 nucleotides) under uncultured bacterium. RNAcentral describes it as "bacterial SSU rRNA". It matches the Rfam family "Bacterial small subunit ribosomal RNA", at positions 355 to 774 of the family's 1533-position model. The record is from RNAcentral.